UACGAAGGGGGCUAGCGUUGCUCGGAAUCACUGGGCGUAAAGGGUGCGUAGGCGGGUUUUUAAGUCAGGGGUGAAAUCCUGGAGCUCAACUCCAGAACUGCCUUUGAUACUGAAGAUCUUGAGUCCGGGAGAGGUGAGUGGAACUGCGAGUGUAGAGGUGAAAAUUCGUAGAUAUUCGCAAGAACACCAGUGGCGAAGGCGGCUCACUGGCCCGGUACUGACGCUGAGGCACGAAAGCGUGGGGAGCAAACAGGG
This 255-nucleotide ribosomal RNA is filed under the name uncultured bacterium. Its description in RNAcentral is "partial 16S ribosomal RNA". It matches the Rfam family "Bacterial small subunit ribosomal RNA", at positions 524 to 777 of the family's 1533-position model. The record is from RNAcentral.